Molecule: transfer RNA, 74 nt
Filed under: Phycisphaerales bacterium
Lineage: Bacteria; Pseudomonadati; Planctomycetota; Phycisphaerae; Phycisphaerales
Description: tRNA-Pro
Rfam family: tRNA
About the family: Transfer RNA (tRNA) molecules are approximately 80 nucleotides in length. Their secondary structure includes four short double-helical elements and three loops (D, anti-codon, and T loops).
Source: RNAcentral
CAGGGCGUAGCUCAGUUUGGUAGAGCGCGGGGUUUGGGUCCUCGAGGUCGCAGGUUCAAAUCCUGUCGCCCUGA